Long non-coding RNA from Gallus gallus (chicken), 4450 nucleotides. Lineage: Eukaryota; Metazoa; Chordata; Aves; Galliformes; Phasianidae. The record is from Ensembl.
GCACUGCAACCUCUUCCCUCCUUCAUGGGGACACGGGUUUCCCUGAGCUGUGGUAAGCAGGGAUGUGCCAGGGCCUCUUCAAGUCCCCCAAAAUCCCCACUCUGCAUACAACUCAUAAUUCUUCUCUCCUAAUUCUUUCUCUCCUUCUUCCCCUAACUGUCUUUUCUUGAUGCUUCUCAUAGACAUUUCUUCUCCUCUUCCCCAUUCUCUACACUGACAGAUUGAUGGAGACAAUACUUGGUGAUGGAAUGGCCAGCAAAUAUUUUCCUUCUCUUCAACCACACACAGCAAAGCCAAACCUCCUCAUUUUGAGACAAGUGCUCUCAGAAGUUAAAUUCCUGCCACAUCUCUGUCUUUGGAAGUUGGGCAGACUCUUAAUGUUUUUCAGCAAAGUACAUCUCCUACCACUCAGGUCACAUUUCAUGUUGGCACUCCUCAGGUGUCAGAUUUUGAAAAGAAGCCAUCUGGGUCUCAGCCUUUGUCCUCCUCCUCCUCAUGCAUCAUUGCCAUGCUUUGGAUUUGCAAAACCACAUUUUGAAGGAUUCCCAGCUGCUUCUCCAAGCAUCUCGUCUAGUUGAGUGUUUGGCAUAAAUUGGAAAAGGCUCAAAUAGUCUGUAAUUUCUAUCUAAGCAGUGCAGGAUGUGUAGCCAGAGGUGUUUUAAAGGUCUCCUCACCAAAUACUAUGAAAUGUAUGGUAUUCAGCUGAGAGGGCUCAAUAAAAACUGCAAAGAUUUGCAGAGUUUAGGACACAGAUAAGUACUAAAUAGAGAAAAUACAUUCCAGCAAUGUAGACUAACCAGAUGUUUUAAUCAUUUUAUGGCAUUUAUCACCACCUCUCAGACCGACCAUUGGCUACUGCUGUCCUUUAAGCUCAACUGUACCUCAGCAGUGCCCAAAGACAGAGAAGGAUGCAGGGGGAAUGCAGCAAAACAAAGCCUCACCAUCCUGGUCAGGAUCCUUCAUGGUGAUCACCUUUAACAUAAACCAUUGCACUAGCAUGCUGCUGAGUACUGGAACAAGGCUCCUUAACAUCCCCUCGUCCCCAUCUCACACACCUCUUCUCCAUCUGUGUGCCCGAGCCCAGUUAGGUCAGGUCUGUAUGGAGGCUUAGUUUCAAGGCUAAACACAUCCAUCACAAGGCAGCUUCGUGCCAGCACUCUCAUCCCCUCUGUGAAACACCUUUUGAGGACUCUCCAUGCAAAGCCUGCAUCCCCAACAUGCAUUUUCAGCCCUCCCCAAGCCUAAACCCACAGUUUACCAGGAAUGGGAAGAGAUGCAGGAAAACAAGGGGCACUUCAACCCCUUUUUAAAGCUCAAAUUCCCUCCCAUUUUGGUAUAUUUAACUUGGGCGCAGUUCUGAAACAAAAGGCACAGAGAUGCCAAGUUGUUGGGGCAGGGGGAGGGAAGAAAGUUGGUUCGGUUCUGAGAGCCUUGGAAGAUCAUUAAAAUUUCAUAACAGGCUGGGAAAAAAAAAAAAAAAGAAAAAAAAAGAAAGGUUGUUUGCUUAUAAGGUCUCUAGUGUUUAAAGAGCUAGAGACAAAACUGCCGAGCAGUAUAUUCCAGUUUAUCCUGUGGAAUAGGAAGGAAUGGCCCCAGACGUAAUUACAAGGGUACAGCAGGGAUUCACAACAUCGGUUCUCAACCUUUCCCUUAUUUCUUCAUGGGAGGAAGUGAAGUGGCAAGGCUCCCAGCUAGACACAUUUGUCGUCUCAGUGUGGAGGAAUAAUUGGAGCACGGCUCCUGUUAGGGAGUUGUGCAAAAGGAACCUUCUUCAGAUCUUUCUUUUUCUUUUCUCUUUCUUUUUCUUUUUCUUUUUCUUUUUUUUUUUUUUCCAGAAACAAAGAUUUAAAAGUGCAGCUCCAGUUUAAACACCCCUUAUAGCCAGACAGCAAAGCUGUGGACAAUCAAUGGAUGUACUUUUAUGUGCAUGCAGCAGAUAAUGUCAUUUACGAGCACAGAAGGCUUCUGGGCUCUGCAACAGCUGGUGGUAUGACAGAGGUCUCAUUCCUGAUGUGCAAAGGGGAGCUGGCAUGAAUGGAACAGGGUGAGUCACCAUCCCUGCAGGUGUUCAGGAACCGUAGACAUGCGGCAUUCAGGGAUGUGGUUUAGUGGGCAAUAUUGGUGGUAGGUGGACAGUUGGACUAGAUGAACUUAGAGAUCUUUUCUAACCUUAAUGAUUCCAUAAUCCCAUGAUUCUAUGCACUCCUCUCCCUGAGCACCUCAUCUCUGCUCAUAUCUUCCCAACCUAGGCAAGCCACCCCAAAGAGUCAUUGCAGCAGUAGAUGUGGAUCAGGCUUAUAUGAAGGGAAAAGUGAAACAAUGGAUUCUGCUUUAUUUCUUUUCCUAUUUAGAGGCUUAUGCAAGCAUAUUUCACAUGCUUCAGGUGGCAAAAGCUCAAAAGAGGCUGAAGUUGUUGGGAUGAAGUGUAGUGGUCCAUUCCCAAAGACAUACUCAGUAUCACGGAUUUCCCACUGCACCCAUCGUAUUGCAGAAAUCUCUGCUGGCUCAGGGAAGCAGUUUGCAAUUCUUGUGCUCCAACAUUGGUAAAUAGAGACCUUUUUACCUUUGGAUUUUCAUAUUCUGAAGAAAAUGAUCAGUGGCCAUAAAACCCAUUUAUUUUAGUAGCUCUGCUGAGGGCAUACAAGCCCGAGUCUUCAGAAUGGCAUCAAGACACAUACCACAGCUUGGAGCCAUAGAUACGUCCUUAUUCUUCCCUUUAUCCUUUACACUUGACCCUGAUCCAGUCAGUCAUAUGUUGUUCUUUCUGAAGGGCGGCAACACAGAAAAUGCCAAAUCUCUGAUUUAUUUGUGGUUAGGAAAAUGAUCCCCGCGUGAACUGAAAGCUUCCCUCCUUUUAAUUGUAAUACCUGCCUAAACCCUUAACCUCUCCAAAAUGCCCCUCAGUGCUGGAGUGGUUAUUGCAUCUCCAGUACUCCUGGCACUCCCUUGUCCCUAGACAGAGAUGGAGAAGACAACACUGCCUUAGCACAGCCACUGCCAGCAGCAGAGCCAGGACAGGGGAUGGAGUUGGGGCUGCUAAAUGAGGUUGCAACAGAUUGGAGAGAAAUUGUAAAAUGAAAUCCUCCAAAUUCAGUGGAGAGCAGCCUACCCUUUCAUGCUCCCAAUGAAGCCUUUUCUCCUUGACAAUUUGCUGAAAGGAUCUCCGUUGUUUGUUACUUAACACAUCUGUGGAUUUAUUGCAAGCUGAUGCUUUCUGUUUUACUUCUACAUGGCACAAGUGGAAGAUGGGGAGAACAAUUCAACCCAGAUCUCUGACUCCUCACUGCAUCCAAAUGUGGUGAAGUUCCAAACAGCACUGAUGCAAGAGAGUUCUGCUUGUCCUGGCCUGAUCAUGAAUGAUCCUGACACCCUCUGACUUUUUCCUGUAACAAAUAUUUAGGGAGAAAUGAAAGAAUUUGAAUAAAUGGUACGAAAAAAUGGAGAUCUAAAAUACAGGACACCAUUGUAUAGAUGGGGAAAAGAUUUAAUGCAACACUGACCACUUUCCUCAUGUAUGUGAGUCCACUUGUCAUGAGGUUACUCCCUGAUAUUUUGCCCAGUGGAGAAUACGGAGAGUGGGAAAGAGCAAAUCUUUCCCAGGGAGGAGUAAAACUCAAACCUCAGCUUCUCAAACAGACAGAAGGAACAAGGAGGGAUGAUGCCAUGCAGAGAGAGAUUCCCCGGCCAUUUAUUGCACUCUGUUGCUUCCUUGGCGAGGGCAGUGCAGAUGGGGACAACCAAAGCACCCUGUUCCUCCUGUGCUCCCUCUGAGCUCCUGCUGAGCUGUGUUGUGAUAUCUAUCACAGGGCGUCCAUAUCCUAACACUCCCCUUGUCCUUUACCUUGUUUAGCCUUUUCGCCAUCAUGAAAUAAUGUUCACAAUGGCAAGAACACAAAAUAGCUCAUAAUGUGCCUCAAACUGUGAGAAAAGCGCAUUCGAUCCUCCCCAAACACAGACCUGCUCACUUCAAAGGCGGCAAUAUUUUGAUAGUAAUCAACAUCGCGUUUUCUUCCCUUUCCUGGCCCAACGUGUCUAUUUGCUCAGGCACUCUUUCCGUCCAUCCAGAAAAUUCAAUGUGUCCAAAGCACACACGGGGCUGAGCAAUGAUCCCAGGCAAUGCCUGAGCAAAGCAGCCCCAGGUAUGAUCCCAGUGACCUGGCUGCUAUAGUGCUGCCACCCCAUGGCAUGGGAUUUGCUCCUGGGUUGUUUUAUUUGUGGCUAAAACACUAAGUGAGUGAAGAAACAUCCUCUCUGCCUUAGAGACAGUGAAAUAGGAACAAACAACAGAAUUACAGUCUCAACAUGUGAUCUAUAGCUCCCUGGAGGAAGAUGUCCCUCACGCCAUCCCCAUACAUGGCACAUCUUCAAAUGAUGGACUGGGGAGAACCGACUAUCUUCAGUUCUCAGAUACUGUGAUAAAUGAUUAAUAAAGAAUCAGAUUGAAACCAAA